Flavobacterium branchiophilum FL-15 is the source of this 129-nucleotide regulatory RNA element. It matches the Rfam family "Bacteroidete tryptophan peptide leader RNA". The record is from Rfam. NCBI's taxonomy places the organism in Bacteria, Pseudomonadati, Bacteroidota, Flavobacteriia, Flavobacteriales, Flavobacteriaceae.
UUGCAUCAAACAAAAUUCAGAAAAUGUACAAUUUAAACAAUAUUUGGUGGUGGAGCAACUUACGUCAAUCGUCGUGAAGCAAUAUCCUAUAAGUAUAUUUUAAAUACUAAAUAUCUAUAAAGGCUUGUC